GGAGCACAUGAUCUCUCAGAGUUAGCGGAUUCUGCUCCCACGCCAAACCAAAACCGAGGAGAAGUGAAGGGAAGAGGAAAGAGAGGGCUGGCCGCAAAGUAUGCGUUCUGGAAAAUCAGGUUCCCUUUUUCUGGUCAUUUCUGGGCUCCGUGCAACCCUGAGCAUCUUGGAGAGAUUGCCAAGGAGAAGAGGAGAGGAGAGGGGACAGCUAUGGUGCAUGAGGAAAUGACACCUGCCUUCUGACGGGUACAGCAGAGAAUAAUGUGUCACAGGAGAAAUGCGCCAAGUCCACUCUCCCUCCUUUGGCUGUGUGAGGGACUACCCACCCACCUCCUGCUCCUCGUAUUGCCUGUGUUCAUGCCUGCACCCCACCAGCCAUCCACUACCUAGAAUUAACAAGAAGUCUAUCAGGAUUAAAUGUGCCUCUGGAGGCCCAUAUGUGGGAACAGAUUUUGUUUUUAACUUUUGAUUCUAGAAAAUUUCAAAAAUACAUAAAAAUAGAGUGAAUUGUCAAUGAACCCCAUGUACUAAUCACUCCUCUAUAAAAAUCAUCAACCC
Molecule: long non-coding RNA, 558 nt
Filed under: Homo sapiens (human)
Lineage: Eukaryota; Metazoa; Chordata; Mammalia; Primates; Hominidae
Description: HSALNT0017880
Source: RNAcentral